GAUGAACGCUGGCGGCGUGCCUAAUACAUGCAAGUCGAGCGAACGGAUGAGAAGCUUGCUUCUCUGAUGUUGGCGGCGGACGGGUGAGUAACACGUGGAUAACCUACCUAUAAGACUGGGAUAACUUCGGGAAACCGGAGCUAAUACCGGAUAAUAUUUUGAACCGCAUGGUUCAAAAGUGAAAGACGGUCUUGCUGUCACUUAUAGAUGGAUCCGCGCUGCAUUAGCUAGUUGGUAAGGUAACGGCUUACCAAGGCAACGAUGCAUAGCCGACCUGAGAGGGUGAUCGGCCACACUGGAACUGAGACACGGUCCAGACUCCUACGGGAGGCAGCAGUAGGGAAUCUUCCGCAAUGGGCGAAAGCCUGACGGAGCAACGCCGCGUGAGUGAUGAAGGUCUUCGGAUCGUAAAACUCUGUUAUUAGGGAAGAACAUAUGUGUAAGUAACUGUGCACAUCUUGACGGUACCUAAUCAGAAAGCCACGGCUAACUACGUG
This 497-nucleotide ribosomal RNA is filed under the name uncultured bacterium. RNAcentral's name for it is "partial 16S ribosomal RNA". It matches the Rfam family "Bacterial small subunit ribosomal RNA", at positions 28 to 507 of the family's 1533-position model. The record is from RNAcentral.